RNAcentral lists this ribosomal RNA (501 nucleotides) under uncultured bacterium. RNAcentral describes it as "partial 16S ribosomal RNA". It matches the Rfam family "Bacterial small subunit ribosomal RNA", at positions 30 to 523 of the family's 1533-position model. The record is from RNAcentral.
AUUGAACGCUGGCGGCAGGCUUAACACAUGCAAGUCGAGCGGGGUGAUGGUGCUUGCACUAUCACUUAGCGGCGGACGGGUGAGUAAUGCUUAGGAAUCUGCCUAUUAGUGGGGGACAACAUCUCGAAAGGGAUGCUAAUACCGCAUACGUCCUACGGGAGAAAGCAGGGGAUCACUUGUGACCUUGCGCUAAUAGAUGAGCCUAAGUCGGAUUAGCUAGUUGGUGGGGUAAAGGCCUACCAAAGCGACGAUCUGUAGCGGGUCUGAGAGGAGGAUGCGCAACACUUGUACUGAGACACGGCCCAGACUCCUACGGGAGGCAGCAUUGGGGAAUAUUGGACAAUGGGGGGAACCCUGAUCCAGCCAUGACGCGUGUGAAGAAGGCCUUAUGGUUGUAAAGCACUUUAAGCGAGGAGGAGGCUCUUUUGGUUAAUACCCAAGAUGAGUGGACGUUACUCGCAGAAUAAGCACCGGCUAACUCUGUGCCAGCCGCCGCCGUAA